RNAcentral lists this ribosomal RNA (393 nucleotides) under Vibrio sp. P1-8. RNAcentral describes it as "bacterial SSU rRNA". It matches the Rfam family "Bacterial small subunit ribosomal RNA", at positions 59 to 443 of the family's 1533-position model. The record is from RNAcentral. Lineage: Bacteria; Pseudomonadati; Pseudomonadota; Gammaproteobacteria; Vibrionales; Vibrionaceae.
UAGCGGAAACGAGUUAUCUGAACCUUCGGGGAACGAUAACGGCGUCGAGCGGCGGACGGGUGAGUAAUGCCUGGGAAAUUGCCCUGAUGUGGGGGAUAACUAUUGGAAACGAUAGCUAAUACCGCAUAAUGUCUACGGACCAAAGAGGGGGACCUUCGGGCCUCUCGCUUCAGGAUAUGCCCAGGUGGGAUUAGCUAGUUGGUGAGGUAAUGGCUCACCAAGGCGACGAUCCCUAGCUGGUCUGAGAGGAUGAUCAGCCACACUGGAACUGAGACACGGUCCAGACUCCUACGGGAGGCAGCAGUGGGGAAUAUUGCACAAUGGGCGCAAGCCUGAUGCAGCCAUGCCGCGUGUAUGAAGAAGGCCUUCGGGUUGUAAAGUACUUUCAGUCGU